GACGAACGCUGGCGGCGUGCCUAAUACAUGCAAGUCGAGCGAAGUCGUCUUACGGAAGUCUUCGGAUGGAAGUAAGAUGUACUUAGCGGCGGACGGGUGAGUAACACGUGGGCAACCUGCCCGUAAGACGGGGAUAACUAGCGGAAACGUUAGCUAAUACCGGAUAGUCCUCUUGAGCGCCUGCUUGAGAGGGGAAAGACGGAGCAAUCUGUCACUUACGGAUGGGCCCGCGGCGCAUUAGCUAGUUGGUGGGGUAACGGCUUACCAAGGCGACGAUGCGUAGCCGACCUGAGAGGGUGAUCGGCCACACUGGGACUGAGACACGGCCCAGACUCCUACGGGAGGCUG
This 348-nucleotide ribosomal RNA is filed under the name uncultured Bacillota bacterium. RNAcentral describes it as "bacterial SSU rRNA". It matches the Rfam family "Bacterial small subunit ribosomal RNA", at positions 28 to 351 of the family's 1533-position model. The record is from RNAcentral. Lineage: Bacteria; Bacillati; Bacillota.